AGCAACAAAAGGAGAAAACUCAAAGAAAGAGGAAGAGAUUUUGGGGAAAAUUCAAAUUUAAUCUAUGACAAUCUUCAAGAAUCCAAUCAAAAAGGAUAAUCUUGCUCAGGAUGAACAAAAGCUCAAGUUUGUAAAAAUCAUCUAAAGAAUUAUAACAAGACAAAAGGAAGUGAAAAUGGACUAAAAGUAUACAAAAUUGUGACAUGU
This is a long non-coding RNA of Olea europaea var. sylvestris, 207 nucleotides long. RefSeq lists it as uncharacterized. The record is from RefSeq and is a predicted model, not a curated record. NCBI's taxonomy places the organism in Eukaryota, Viridiplantae, Streptophyta, Magnoliopsida, Lamiales, Oleaceae. The transcript is spliced from 3 exons.